This 464-nucleotide ribosomal RNA is filed under the name uncultured bacterium. RNAcentral's name for it is "bacterial SSU rRNA". It matches the Rfam family "Bacterial small subunit ribosomal RNA", at positions 28 to 524 of the family's 1533-position model. The record is from RNAcentral.
GAUGAACGCUGGCGGCGUGCCUAAUACAUGCAAGUCGAGCGGCAGCACGGUCUUCGGACUGGUGGCGAGCGGCGGACGGCUGAGUAACGCGUAGGAAUAUACCCCAAAGUGAGGGAUAACUGCCCGAAAGGGUGGCUAAUACCGCAUGUGGUCUUCGGACUAAAGCCUUCGGGCGCUUUGGGAAUAGCCUGCGUAAGAUUAGCUAGUUGGUGAGGUAAUGGCUCACCAAGGCGACGAUCUUUAGCUGGUCUGAGAGGAUGACCAGCCAGACUGGAACUGAGACACGGUCCAGACUCCUACGGGAGGCAGCAGUAGGGAAUUUUCCACGAUGGGCGAAAGCCUGAUGGAGCAACGCCGCGUGCAGGAUGAAGGCCCUCGGGUCGUAAACUGCUUUUAUGUGCGAAGAAUAUGACGGUAACACAUGAAUAAGGGUCGGCUAACUACGUGCCAGCAGCCGCGGUAAU